UGUGGGUUGUUUCCACCCUUAGGCAGAUGUGAAUAAUGCUGCUGUGAACUAGAGGUAGAGUGUCUGCCUGAGUCCCUGCUUCUAGUUCUUUUCUUUGGGGUAUUAACAUGUAUUAUAAUGAGCUAAACUAGAGGAAGGAUCUGUCUGCUGUUGAAGACUCUAAGUUCCCUUUUAUGGGAGCCAGUAAAGUUCCUGUAAGUGACCAGCCUUCCAAGAACCCCCGGAAGAGACUCCCAUCUCUGAGCAGUGGAUUUGGCUAGUGAAUCCCAAACCUGGCUCUGUGUUAGAAUCACACAGCCAGCAUCCCAAAACAUCGGGGGCCCAGGAAUCCGGGGGAUACCACACCAACCAACCGGUUAAGCCAAGGGUCACUGAUAAUGAGACAUUAUGACAUCAUGUGACAUCAUCAACAUAGCAUUCCUGCUCAAAAUGCUCAGACUGAAUCUAACCAUGAGGAAACAGACAUCCAAAUUGAAGGCCCUUCUGUGAAACAGCAAAAAUGUCAAGUAUAUAUUUUCCACUGUAUAUGGCUUAUAUAAAAUGACUCCACUGAGCACAAGUACUCUUCCUCAGAGCAGCAGUACAAUGUGGUGGCUUCUUCAUCCAUAAAAUCCAGUAACUACAGCCCAGUUGGUAGUUGAGAAGACUUCACGAAAUAAUCCAUGUACAUUGUUUAAGCUGUGGAACGAAGAGGGGCAAUCUGAUCGUAAGGAGAGAAAUAAAGCGAAAGACUCCAGUCUCCAGCACUGCUCUGUGGUCCUAGAAGGGGUGGGCUCGUGUGAUUCGAGUUCAAAAGAGAAUGCUGCCCACCUAAGUGUCAAUUAUCAGCAAGAAUAACUGCUCACAACUAUUUCAAGGAAGGUGUUAACAGACUGCCAAAAAAAAAAAAAAUGGCUCUGAUUCUCGCUCCACCUGUGUCUGUGCCUUUGGCAAUGGAACCCUUUGUAACCCGUCCCAUCUAGAGGAUCUCUACUCAGCCAACCAUGUGCUAAAACCUGGGUGAGCGCCCAGGAAAGCGAGGAGACCACGUAGGGCAGAGACAAGCCGAACAAGCAGACACCACCCUGAGGCUUUCAGACCACCCAGCUAACACACGACCAGGCCCGGCUACGGCCAGAACUGCCCAGAAAAGCUCAGCCGCAAAAUUGUCAGCUACAGAAACAGCUUUUGUUUUAACCCACAAGUUUUGAGAUGCUUAGGAUGCACCUGCCCUCAUCGGGGGACUUCCUGCUACCGGCAGCUGGAAGAACCUGCGAGAGGCGGAGUGUUUCCAUGCCUCGGUGGUGGCGUCCACCUCCUGACUCACCGUGUGGCUGCUCAGAACCUUCCAAGAUGGACAGAACCUUCCAUCCGGGCAGGAUACGUAAUUAGCGUGUAGGCCUUAGCAAGGUACUCAGAAGGCUCUGUUAGCAGGUCCGAUUUCAUCAUCCUAAAUUAGAGCCUUGACCUCUCAGUAACCUUCUAUUCACAUGUGUCCAUCUACACGGUCACAAUGCCAUUUGACAAGACAGGGUUUGCACUCAGAGAAAGACAGACAUGAGUGACGUGGCAUGCACUGGCAUCGCCAGCAUCUAGAUUGCUAGGCAGAUCUGAAACAUGUCAUUUUUCUUUUUAACUAACUCCCUAUAGACACUUUUUACCCAACCCAGUUCAAGCAAGUACAUUCCUUAGCAAGUGUGGAGCUGCGAAGGGGAAAGGGUUCACUGGGGACACAGGCACCGGGACACUGGCCUACUCCUGUGACACAUUCACUGUCCCCUCCCUUGUGCAGAGACUACAUCUGAGUGGUGAUGGUGGAGGGCACUUGAGGGGAAGAGCACUGGGUGUUGUAUGGAAAACAA
Suricata suricatta (meerkat) is the source of this 1841-nucleotide long non-coding RNA. RefSeq lists it as uncharacterized. The record is from RefSeq and is a predicted model, not a curated record. The transcript has 7 exons. NCBI's taxonomy places the organism in Eukaryota, Metazoa, Chordata, Mammalia, Carnivora, Herpestidae.